This 60-nucleotide transfer RNA is filed under the name Lamprigera yunnana. RNAcentral's name for it is "tRNA-Phe". Lineage: Eukaryota; Metazoa; Arthropoda; Insecta; Coleoptera; Lampyridae. The record is from RNAcentral.
GUUUUAAUAGCUUAUUUAGAGCAUAAUAUUGAAGAUAUUAAGGAGAGUUAUCUUAAAAUA